GAUUCUGACUGCAGCAGCCUAAAAUUAUAGAUCUCAUCCUUCAGUUGCAACAUCCUAGAUGAAGGAAAGAUCCUGUUCAAGAAUUUCCUACACAACUCGGUAAAAUAUCUCCAAUAAUCUCAUCCCUGACAAUCGAUGAUUGGGCACCAUACUCAGCUUCUUCUUGAACCUGAACCAUGCUUCGUACAUAGAUUCUAACUAUAGCUACCUAAAAUUA
This 217-nucleotide long non-coding RNA is filed under the name Capsicum annuum. RNAcentral describes it as "long non-coding RNA (CANN_LNC018954)". Lineage: Eukaryota; Viridiplantae; Streptophyta; Magnoliopsida; Solanales; Solanaceae. The record is from RNAcentral.